This 422-nucleotide ribosomal RNA is filed under the name uncultured bacterium. RNAcentral describes it as "bacterial SSU rRNA". It matches the Rfam family "Bacterial small subunit ribosomal RNA", at positions 355 to 774 of the family's 1533-position model. The record is from RNAcentral.
UGAGGAAUAUUGGGCAAUGCCCGCAAGGGUGACCCAGCAACGCCGCGUGGAGGAUGAAUGUCGUAAGAUUGUAAACUCCUGUUAGAGGGGAAGAAUAGUACCGGUUGGACCGGUAUAUGACUGUACCCUCAGAGAAAGCCCCGGCUAACUACGUGCCAGCAGCCGCGGUAAUACGUAGGGGGCAAGCGUUGUCCGGAUUUACUGGGUGUAAAGGGCGCGCAGGCGGGAUAAAAAGUCAGUGGUGAAAUCCUACAGCUUAACUGUAGAACUGCCUUUGAUACUUUUAUUCUUGAGUUCGGGAGAGAGAGACGGAAUUCCAGGUGUAGUGGUGAAAUACGUAGAUAUCUGGAAGAACACCAGUUGCGAAGGCGGUCUCUUGGUCCGACAUUGACGCUGAGGCGCGAAAGCGUGGGGAGCAAACA